GGAGGUAUAGCUCGGCGGUACAGCAUUCGACUGCAGAUCGAGAGGUCCCCGGUUCGAACCCGGAUGCAAUAUUUUUU
Trichonephila inaurata madagascariensis is the source of this 77-nucleotide non-coding RNA. NCBI's taxonomy places the organism in Eukaryota, Metazoa, Arthropoda, Arachnida, Araneae, Nephilidae. The record is from the annotation of a GenBank genome assembly.